AAACAUUUUCCCUGAAACUUUCUGUUGUGAGGGGAAAGGUAAUGAAAUAAGACAUAUAUAUGUAUGGAUAAUAAUCAAUAUUUUUUUCAUCCAAAUACGCAGCAGUGACUGCCUGGCACUCCUGUGAGCCUUGAUGUUUCGGUAACAGUUUAUGAGUGUAUCCCUUUCCUUGGCUGACACAUUGAGCUGCAUAUGGCACACUUUCUGUACCAGGUAAACACACAGACCUAAACAACUAUGGUGCAGCAGGGAGUAGAGACUCUGCCUGGCAGCCUGGCAAGGCUCCUGCUUCUUGGCAGCCCUCAGACGAGCAAGAGGGUUUUGUGCAGCGCUCCGUGCGCACGGCACUCCGGGUAAGGAGCUAUUGAAACCAACAAAGCUUCACUUAAAUUGAUGGUGUGAAGCCUGGGGUCAGAUCAGAGUGAGGGGUAGCUUGGAAUGCCUGCACCCCGGGAAGAUCUGGCCAAGCCUGAGCUCCAACCAGAAACCUCUGGUGCCUCCAUGCCCUCAACUCUGGAUUUGGGAUCACUGAGGUGCUGCAACAAGCUGCAGAACCCCCAUGAAGGUAUGACAUCAGGCCACCACAAAGCCAUACCAGGAGAGUCUUACAGGGAAAAAGAUGUCAACUUAAGAGCUUUCAACAUUCAGGGGAAUUCAGAAAAGCCAAAACCUGGCAAUGCUUAGACCUUUCAGCCAGCAUCAUUAAGAAACACAUAAGAAAAAUAAGUUUUCUUGGAAGACAGAUCUGCAAGAGCAAGUGCCAAAACACUGAUGGGGAGCUGGAGCACAGUGAUGCCUCAGGCUGGCUGCAGCUGAUUUAGGCAGUUGUUGGCUAAUUCUGGGUGCAUAAAACAUACAGAGCACACAAGAGCCUUC
This is a long non-coding RNA of Empidonax traillii (willow flycatcher), 876 nucleotides long. RefSeq lists it as uncharacterized. The transcript is spliced from 7 exons. NCBI's taxonomy places the organism in Eukaryota, Metazoa, Chordata, Aves, Passeriformes, Tyrannidae. The record is from RefSeq and is a predicted model, not a curated record.